GUCGCUGGCUGUCGCCGCGCCGUUCUGGUUGUGGGCUGGCGCUGUCAGCGCAUUUGAAAAUUUCCGCCGUCUGCUUCGGUGGCCGCUGCUCGUAUUGAUUGCUUGUCGGCGGCACUCACGCAUACACAGGCACAGGCACACUCACAUACUCUUCUGACACGCAUAAGUAACUGCUAACACAAUUUGUAGUCUAUGGGUUAACUGUAUAACUGUAAAACUGUUAAAGCCAACAGCCUUUGUUGCCAUCUAUUUGCCGCGCCAAAGAACUGGACACGAGCGAGGUCUGCAGCCAAAUGAAUCUGAAAUAAUGAAACUGAGUGAAUUUCGCUCGAAAGAUGCUGCGAACACGAGCCAACAAAGCACGACACGACCCGACACGACACGAGCGCCCAGACCCGAACCAGAGCCCCACCAAGCGAACACGACAAAGCUGCUGUCCAAAAGCUUCGACUCGACUCGGCUUUUGUCGCACUUGCAGCAGGAGAGAGCGCAUACGAAUGGCUUGCGCAAGCCGAGGGGAAAUGGGCAACGGCCAAAGAGCAUCAGCAUCGCUGUGAGAGGGGCAAUGUAAACAAGGCAACAUUGGGAUGCUGUGGCUUUUAAUUAGCCACCGUUUGCAUAUUUCAGCAGCUAAGAGAGCUUGCAUUAAGAGAACACCAGGCAGACAGACAGAUAGAACGGGAGAGAGAGAGCGAAAGAAAGAGAGAGCUUUGCCAAAACCAACUAUGUGUGGGUGAGUGUAAUAACAAAUGCUGCUGAUAAGGCUACUGACCUCUGUGCCAGUGUGUGCAGUGGCGUCGUUUGCGCAAGGGGUUGCUGUUGCAGCUGGCUUAGCUUAGCCUGCCACACACACACACACACACACACACAGAGGCAGACACUCACAAAUCAGGUUGGCAGCUCGGCUGGCAUAACUAAAUGCCAAUUAAAUGCUUUCGAGUGUUUUCUAAAUAAGUUGAAUUUACACAAAUUUCAAAUUUACCGCAACUUGCGCUGCUUUUAAUUAAAUUAAUGCAUUGCCUACUACAGUCCAACUCUCGUCCUUCCCUCUCUCUCUCUCCGUCUCCUCUCACAGUGCUGCCCAUUUAAUUGUUGGCAUUUUUCUUGUGCUGUCUGGACAAACAGCUGUGCCAUCAAGCGCAUAGAUUACACAACAAACAAAAGCCGCCGCUCAGAGACAAAAGGCAGCAGCAAAGCAAGCUGAGCGAGCGUCCAGCGAAGGACUCUAGCAACGCCGCAGACCCUUGUCCAACUUCGCCUGGUGAAAUCCGAGCAGCUUUAAUUUGGCCACGUCAAACGCUGAAUGAAGGCAAAUUUGUCCAGCAGCAACAACAACACAUCUACAGAUUUGAAAAGCCUACAUUUAGGCGCACAUAUUAAUAAAAAAAAAAAAGGAAGACAAAUGCAGAGAAGACAACAAAACAAAAA
Long non-coding RNA from Drosophila mojavensis, 1428 nucleotides. RefSeq lists it as uncharacterized. The transcript has 2 exons. NCBI's taxonomy places the organism in Eukaryota, Metazoa, Arthropoda, Insecta, Diptera, Drosophilidae. The record is from RefSeq and is a predicted model, not a curated record.